AGUGAACGCUGGCGGUAGGCCUAACACAUGCAAGUCGAACGGCAGCACAGUAAGAGCUUGCUCUUACGGGUGGCGAGUGGCGGACGGGUGAGGAAUACAUCGGAAUCUACUUUUUCGUGGGGGAUAACGUAGGGAAACUUACGCUAAUACCGCAUACGACCUACGGGUGAAAGCAGGGGAUCUUCGGACCUUGCGCGAUUGAAUGAGCCGAUGUCGGAUUAGCUAGUUGGCGGGUUAAAGGCCCACCAAGGCGACGAUCCGUAGCUGGUCUGAGAGGAUGAUCAGCCACACUGGAACUGAGACACGGUCCAGACUCCUACGAGAGGCAGCAGUGGGGAAUAUUGGACAAUGGGCGCAAGCCUGAUCCAGCCAUACCGCGUGGGUGAAGAAGGCCUUCGGGUUGUAAAGCCCUUUUGUUGGGAAAGAAAAGCAGCAGGUUAAUACCCAGCUGUUCUGACGGUACCCAAAGAAUAAGCACCGGCUAACUUCGUG
RNAcentral lists this ribosomal RNA (492 nucleotides) under uncultured bacterium. RNAcentral's name for it is "partial 16S ribosomal RNA". It matches the Rfam family "Bacterial small subunit ribosomal RNA", at positions 29 to 507 of the family's 1533-position model. The record is from RNAcentral.